RNAcentral lists this ribosomal RNA (454 nucleotides) under uncultured bacterium. RNAcentral describes it as "partial 16S ribosomal RNA". It matches the Rfam family "Bacterial small subunit ribosomal RNA", at positions 28 to 507 of the family's 1533-position model. The record is from RNAcentral.
GAUGAACGCUGACAGAAUGCUUAACACAUGCAAGUCUACUUGAACUUCGGUUUGGGUGGCGGACGGGUGAGUAACGCGUAAAGAACUUGCCUCACAGAUAGGGACAACAUUUGGAAACGAAUGCUAAUACCUGAUAUUAUGAUUUUAGGGCAUCCUAGAAUUAUGAAAGCUAUAUGCACUGUGAGAGAGCUUUGCGUCCCAUUAGCUAGUUGGAGAGGAAACGGCUCACCAAGGCGAUGAUGGGUAGCCGGCCUGAGAGGGUGAUCGGCCACAAGGGGACUGAGACACGGCCCUUACUCCUACGGGAGGCAGCAGUGGGGAAUAUUGGACAAUGGACCAAGAGUCUGAUCCAGCAAUUCUGUGUGCACGAUGAAGUUUUUCGGAAUGUAAAGUGCUUUCAGUUGGGAAGAAAAAAAUGACGGUACCAACAGAAGAAGUGACGGCUAAAUACGUG